RNAcentral lists this transfer RNA (85 nucleotides) under Ephemerocybe angulata. RNAcentral's name for it is "Coprinellus angulatus tRNA-Pro". It matches the Rfam family "tRNA". From Rfam's summary of the family: Transfer RNA (tRNA) molecules are approximately 80 nucleotides in length. Their secondary structure includes four short double-helical elements and three loops (D, anti-codon, and T loops). Further hydrogen bonds mediate the characteristic L-shaped molecular structure. tRNAs have two regions of fundamental functional importance: the anti-codon, which is responsible for specific mRNA codon recognition, and the 3' end, to which the tRNAs corresponding amino acid is attached (by aminoacyl-tRNA synthetases). tRNAs cope with the degeneracy of the genetic code in two manners: having more than one tRNA (with a specific anti-codon) for a particular amino acid; and 'wobble' base-pairing, i.e. permitting non-standard base-pairing at the 3rd anti-codon position. Lineage: Eukaryota; Fungi; Basidiomycota; Agaricomycetes; Agaricales; Psathyrellaceae. The record is from RNAcentral.
GGCCUGAUGGUCUAGUAGUAUGAUUCCUUGUUAGGGCUGUACAGCAACUUCGAGGAGGUCCCGGGUUCAAUUCCCGGUCAGGCCC